UCAGCUAGUGAGUUAAUUAGUGGUCUCUAAUUUCUGUUAGACCAGGUUGCCUGAAUAAUGAUGUCAAGAAUGUGUACCAAUAUCUGGAAGACAAUGAAUCUGUUAGCAGAGGAUGUGUGCUGUAUGACAGAGCUGCUCCUGGCUGUCUGCUUCAGUGAUCUCUAUUCAGGGAUGUGUCUGCUUCCUGUGGGACGUUUUCUGCCAGCUGAUGACAAGGAUGCUGUUCCAAAAUGAAAUUUGGAACCCUGUUUUAAAUUGAAUCUCACCCUCCAG
RNAcentral lists this long non-coding RNA (273 nucleotides) under Fukomys damarensis (Damara mole-rat). Its description in RNAcentral is "lncRNA (ENSFDAG00000032792.1)". The record is from RNAcentral. Lineage: Eukaryota; Metazoa; Chordata; Mammalia; Rodentia; Bathyergidae.